Molecule: transfer RNA, 75 nt
Filed under: compost metagenome
Description: tRNA-Phe
Rfam family: tRNA
About the family: Transfer RNA (tRNA) molecules are approximately 80 nucleotides in length. Their secondary structure includes four short double-helical elements and three loops (D, anti-codon, and T loops).
Source: RNAcentral
UAUUCUGGUAGCUCAGUUGGUAGAGCGUAGGACUGAAAAUCCUCGUGUCGGUGGUUCGAGUCCACUUCAGAACAA